UUAAGUUCAGCGGGUAUCCCUACCUGAUCCGAGGUCAACCUUAUAAUAGUUGGGGUUGUUGGCAAGUACACUCAAGACCCUGUCGCGAGAAAAAUUACUACGCGUAGAGCUUUAGAGCACCGCCACUGAUUUUAAGAGAGGUCAGAUAGACCAGCUCCAAGUCCACCACAGGGGUGAUUUGGUCAUUAUGACGCUCGAAC
This 200-nucleotide unclassified non-coding RNA is filed under the name Helotiales sp. RNAcentral's name for it is "partial internal transcribed spacer 2". The record is from RNAcentral. Lineage: Eukaryota; Fungi; Ascomycota; Leotiomycetes; Helotiales.